UACGGAGGGGGCUAGCGUUGUUCGGAAUUACUGGGCGUAAAGGGCGUGUAGGCGGCCUGCCAAGUCAGAUGUGAAAGCCCCGGGCUUAACCUGGGAACUGCAUUUGAGACUGGCCGGCUAGAGGUUGGAAGAGGAGAGUGGAAUUCCCAGUGUAGAGGUGAAAUUCGUAGAUAUUGGGAAGAACACCAGUGGCGAAGGCGGCUCUCUGGUCCACACCUGACGCUGAGGCGCGAAAGCGUGGGGAG
This 245-nucleotide ribosomal RNA is filed under the name uncultured Alphaproteobacteria bacterium. Its description in RNAcentral is "partial 16S ribosomal RNA". It matches the Rfam family "Bacterial small subunit ribosomal RNA", at positions 524 to 768 of the family's 1533-position model. Lineage: Bacteria; Pseudomonadati; Pseudomonadota; Alphaproteobacteria. The record is from RNAcentral.